UUUAUUAUCUCAUUCUUCAUCACACAGACACUGAACUCAUUGUUAUCGUCAGCAUCCGUCCUCAUGGUGAGUUACCAUUAUUACGACCAGAGCCAGGCAAAAAUAUGAAGGAUGCAUGAUUUCAGCUCUGCAACAGACCUUGGAUAAUCAUCCCUUUUGAAAAUGUAGCCCUGCUUGGCAACCCAGGCAAUGCACGUCAAUCCGAGGACCCAUUUCCAACCCUCCAAUCAGC
Leopardus geoffroyi (Geoffroy's cat) is the source of this 232-nucleotide long non-coding RNA. RefSeq lists it as uncharacterized. The transcript has 2 exons. NCBI's taxonomy places the organism in Eukaryota, Metazoa, Chordata, Mammalia, Carnivora, Felidae. The record is from RefSeq and is a predicted model, not a curated record.